This 327-nucleotide unclassified non-coding RNA is filed under the name soil metagenome. RNAcentral describes it as "partial contains 5.8S ribosomal RNA, internal transcribed spacer 2, and large subunit ribosomal RNA". The stretch from base 1 to 120 matches the Rfam family "5.8S ribosomal RNA", at positions 35 to 154 of the family's 154-position model. The record is from RNAcentral.
GAUGAAGAACGUAGCGAAAUGCGAUAAGUAAUGUGAAUUGCAGAAUUCAGUGAAUCAUCGAAUCUUUGAACGCACAUUGCGCCCCUUGGUAUUCCGGGGGGCAUGCCUGUUCGAGCGUCAUUAUCACCCCUCAAGCUCAGCUUGGUGUUGGGGCCUGCCGUCAAGGCAGCCCUUAAAAUCAGUGGCGGCGCCAUCUGGCUCUAAGCGUAGUAAUACUUCUCGCUACAGGGUUCCGGUGGUGUCUUGCCAGAACCCCUCAUUUUUUAUGAUUGACCUCGGAUCAGGUAGGGAUACCCGCUGAACUUAAGCAUAUCAAUAAGCGGAGGA